This 1175-nucleotide long non-coding RNA is filed under the name Homo sapiens (human). RNAcentral's name for it is "HSALNT0064215". The record is from RNAcentral. Lineage: Eukaryota; Metazoa; Chordata; Mammalia; Primates; Hominidae.
AGCCCAUUAUAUGUACCCAAGAGUUCAACAGGAAUAGAAAUGUGUGCUAAUGGAUUUGAAAGAUCUACUGUCUUACAGAUAAGAACAAAGGAUAUCUCAGGACAAACUAAGCAAUUAAACUCCAAAUGGUACUGCAAGCAGAACCACACAUGGACACGCCAUUCUUCCAAGAAUCCUUAAAUCAACCUCAGGAGAAGGCCCAACUGCUGCUCCCCUGCAUGCUCCUUUUCAGCAGGAAGUGGCCACAAAGAAUCAUCGUCCAACACCCCCUAACAGCAGUUAGGUUUGCUUCUCUUGAGGGGGGAAAUAAUACAGGUGUUACUUAAAAAAGUUUUUUUAGGCAGAGAGAGAGGCUAAAAGGAGUUCUUGGUAAGGCUUUUUCUGUUAAUAAAAGCAAACCCCGAACCAUUUCUUUUCUAACAGAAAAACCGCUUGAAGGGCCGGGCCAGGAAGCUUUGAUACGCAAAUGCCGCCCGUUAGAAAUGGUCCACCCAAUAUGGCGACUCCUGCCUUCUUCUUGUCACCAUGUGUGCCAAGUGUCAUGGCUACCUCCAGAUAAUACCAUGUGUUCAGAACAUCAUGGCGAUCCGUAUUUGCAUAUUAAAGAGCUAAGGUGGGAAAUUUCGCCAGGUUUUUCACAGGCAAUGUAAAUAACAUACCUGGUCAAACCAAUCCCCUGGGCCCUAUGCAAACCAGACACCACCUCCUCCAGCAUCCCAAUAUAAGCAACCACUUUUCCUGCCACACACGGGGUUUCUCGUCGUUCGAAUCCCCCCUCCCUUUGUCUCUGUACCGGGGAGCUGUUUUCUUCCUUGCUUCUCUCUUGCCUAAUAAACUCUCCGCUCCUUAAAACUACUCCACACGUGUCUGUGUCAUUUUAUCUAAACUGGCGCGAGACCAAGGACCCUGGUGUUCCUUCAGUCAUCGGAGCCAUGUCAUUUACACCUCUCUUGGUCCUAUUCUUGUCUCACUCUCCUUUGCCUUCCAUACACACAGGCACAUAAAAAUGAGACUUUUAAAAAAUUAAGUUUAUACUCACAUCUCUGUUACCUCCCACAACAAUAACUAGAUCGUGAGCUCCUUGGGAAAAAGUCUGGGUCUCGGGGGCCAAAUUUUUUUCCAGUGCCUCAUGUACACGAGGUCAUAAACAAAUGCCCUUCCUGAGGCUACCCAAG